UGCGGCGUAGCUCAGUUGGUAGAGCACGAAGCUGUUAACUUUGUUGUCGUUGGUUCGAGUCCAACCGCCGCAGCCA
RNAcentral lists this transfer RNA (76 nucleotides) under Flavobacteriales bacterium. RNAcentral's name for it is "tRNA-Asn". It matches the Rfam family "tRNA". From Rfam's summary of the family: Transfer RNA (tRNA) molecules are approximately 80 nucleotides in length. Their secondary structure includes four short double-helical elements and three loops (D, anti-codon, and T loops). Further hydrogen bonds mediate the characteristic L-shaped molecular structure. tRNAs have two regions of fundamental functional importance: the anti-codon, which is responsible for specific mRNA codon recognition, and the 3' end, to which the tRNAs corresponding amino acid is attached (by aminoacyl-tRNA synthetases). tRNAs cope with the degeneracy of the genetic code in two manners: having more than one tRNA (with a specific anti-codon) for a particular amino acid; and 'wobble' base-pairing, i.e. permitting non-standard base-pairing at the 3rd anti-codon position. The record is from RNAcentral. RNAcentral also lists the same sequence under 1 other name. Lineage: Bacteria; Pseudomonadati; Bacteroidota; Flavobacteriia; Flavobacteriales.